RNAcentral lists this long non-coding RNA (229 nucleotides) under Olea europaea (common olive). RNAcentral describes it as "long non-coding RNA (OEUR_LNC002571)". Lineage: Eukaryota; Viridiplantae; Streptophyta; Magnoliopsida; Lamiales; Oleaceae. The record is from RNAcentral.
UCCUCUUAUAAAAGAAUUGGGAGGGAGAGCUUCCAGGCAGGUUCCUGCCCAUCUAAGGGACUGAAGCAUUUCUUGGGCUUCAAAAAGUUUUGUUCAUCAUCCAAGAACAAAUGUCUCUUAAAAAAAUAAUCUCAAAGAACUAGAUGAUCAUUAGGAGUAUUACAAGCCUAGCAACUUUGCAAUCAUUCCAGGCUAGGCACCUAGCAACGGAUUAGUUUCUCUAUCCAAG